Molecule: long non-coding RNA, 474 nt
Filed under: Trifolium pratense (red clover)
Lineage: Eukaryota; Viridiplantae; Streptophyta; Magnoliopsida; Fabales; Fabaceae
Description: long non-coding RNA (TPRA_LNC006694)
Source: RNAcentral
AUCUUAACUCUUAAUAUUAAUUGUAAUCAAUUGUCUUGAAUAAUUACUAAUAAUUCUAGGGUAAGAUUAUUGUAUACACACAUUCUCACUAACAAGUUUAUAAUAUAAGAGAUAAGAGAUAGCCGAUCGAUUACAAAAUAGUUUGAAAGCAAAUGGCAUAAACCUACAUAUUAGUCUUGUCUAUGCCUUCCAUCUCAAGGAAUUAGGAUAAAUCAUAUAUAUUGAAGGUAUGAUUCGUUGUUAUCGAUGGGAGAUUACCUAUUGGGAUUAAGUACAAAAACAUAUAAAUUAAAAUCAAGUAUCCAUUAUUUUUAUCAAAAUAAAAAUGAAUAUAUCGAUUAACUUGUAAUAUAUGGAUUACUAUUGUUAAGAAACUCUCUGCAAUUGAUGGAGUAUUCUUGUUGUGCGUUUGUGUAUUCUUUUGGAUAUGACAAUUAUAUAAUCUUUGGAGCUUUAUAAUUAUUGUUAUAUAUU